UCUAACUAUGCAAGUUGGUUAUUGAAAUGUAAAACCUCAUUUCUGUAUAAGCAAUACUAUACACGGUAUGAACUGUGAAGUAAUGUUUUAAUGUCCAGAGCAAAGUUAAAUUGGGUGUGUACGAUAGCUAUUCUCAAAAGACAACCAUUUUGAACUUGUGGUCGAAUAUUUUGUCAUAUCCCAUCUGGCAACACCGCACCUCAUCAGCACAUAAUUCAGAAAAGGAUCAUUUUGCAGUAUUGCUGAUGACCAACAGGAAGUGACUGUCAUUAGAAAACACCAAGGAAGAGUGUGUCGCCUUGUUUUUCUUCCCCUAGCUCCCACCCCCACUUUCUCAGUACCAAAACAACCAACCUGCGGUCAAGCUGAGGGGCAGCAGGACCCUAAAGAGAAGACCCACCACCAAUGGACCGCAAGACAUCCUGGAUCCAGUUCUUGCAACAGGCCUGCCCUGCUUGUUUUGGUUCUGGUUCUGGUUCAGUCCCCCAAGAAGAGGCGGACUGUCAGAGGUCUUGGUGGCCGCCGGCCGAACAAGGAGUCCCCCUGAAGGCGACCACACACCCCGGUGUCAUCCUCCACAGACACACGCAAUGAGUCACACCGACCCAAUGUCUGACCCGCUUUUAAAGGUCCAAGUGCAUCUGUCCAUCAACAUCCAAGAACUGCACCCUGGUCAAGUCCACUUCAGCCAGACGACAUCCUUUUGCUCUUUGAACGGUUGCGGUGUUAUGGAGAAACUCACCUGCACACUACACCCCCACCCCAAUGCC
This is a long non-coding RNA of Nerophis lumbriciformis (worm pipefish), 770 nucleotides long. RefSeq lists it as uncharacterized. Lineage: Eukaryota; Metazoa; Chordata; Actinopteri; Syngnathiformes; Syngnathidae. The record is from RefSeq and is a predicted model, not a curated record.